RNAcentral lists this ribosomal RNA (359 nucleotides) under uncultured Methanosaeta sp. Its description in RNAcentral is "bacterial SSU rRNA". It matches the Rfam family "Archaeal small subunit ribosomal RNA", at positions 981 to 1338 of the family's 1478-position model. Lineage: Archaea; Methanobacteriati; Methanobacteriota; Methanomicrobia; Methanotrichales; Methanotrichaceae. The record is from RNAcentral.
UGAGAGGUGGUGCAAUGGCCGUCGUCAGUUCGUACUGUGAAGCAUCCUGUUAAGUCAGGCAACGAGCGAGACCCACGUCCACAGUUGCCAGCAUACCCUCCGGGGUGAUGGGUACACUGUGGAGACCGCCGCUGCUAAAGCGGAGGAAGGAGUGGGCAACGGUAGGUCAGUAUGCCCCGAAUCUCCCGGGCUACACGCGGGCUACAAUGGUUGGUACAAUGGGCAUCUACCCCGAAAGGGGAAGGAAAUCUCUUAAAGCCAAUCGUAGUUCGGAUUGAGGGCUGCAACUCGCCCUCAUGAAGCUGGAAUCCGUAGUAAUCGCGUUUCAACAGAACGCGGUGAAUACGUCCCUGCUCCUU